UACUCGUCUAUAUCUUCGUAUC
RNAcentral lists this small nuclear RNA (22 nucleotides) under Arabidopsis thaliana (thale cress). RNAcentral describes it as "snRNA_13586". Lineage: Eukaryota; Viridiplantae; Streptophyta; Magnoliopsida; Brassicales; Brassicaceae. The record is from RNAcentral.